Molecule: long non-coding RNA, 226 nt
Filed under: Eucalyptus grandis
Lineage: Eukaryota; Viridiplantae; Streptophyta; Magnoliopsida; Myrtales; Myrtaceae
Description: long non-coding RNA (EGRA_LNC001299)
Source: RNAcentral
AACAAAUGCAUCCACCCCCAUCAUCUUAGGACCCACCGAAUUAUAGCACUUCCAAACGAGGUUAAAAACCGGGGAGUUCUGCCGAGCAAUACACAAGCAAACCAACACGUUUUGCUUCAUGUUUGAGCUGAUAGAUAUCUAGCUCCAACACCGGAGAGUCUCUCUAACCAGAAAAAGACUCUGAACCACCUCCAAUUAUGCCGAGACUAACCUCAUCACCUCCUCA